UCCGUAGGUGAACCUGCGGAAGGAUCAUUACCGAGUUGAUUCGGGCUCCGGCCCGAUCCUCCCACCCUUUGUGUACCUACCUCUGUUGCUUUGGCGGGCCGCGGUUCUCCGCGGCCGCCCCCCUCCCCGGGGGGUGGCCAGCGCCCGCCAGAGGACCAUCAAACUCCGGUCAGUAAACGAUGCAGUCUGAAAAACAUUUAAUAAACUAAAACUUUCAACAACGGAUCUCUUGGUUCUGGCAUCGAUGAAGAACGCAGCGAAAUGCGAUAAGUAAUGUGAAUUGCAGAAUUCAGUGAAUCAUCGAAUCUUUGAACGCACAUUGCGCCCUUUGGUAUUCCGAAGGGCAUGCCUGUUCGAGCGUCAUUACAACCCUCAAGCUCUGCUUGGUAUUGGGCACCGUCCUUUGCGGGCGCGCCUCAAAGACCUCGGCGGUGGCGUCUUGCCUCAAGCGUAGUAGAACAUACAUCUCGCUUCGGAGCGCAGGGCGUCGCCCGCCGGACGAACCUUCUGAACUUUUCUCAAGGUUGACCUCGGAUCAGGUAGGGAUACCCGCUGAACUUAAGCAUAUCAAUAAGCGGAGGA
Molecule: ribosomal RNA, 582 nt
Filed under: Botryosphaeria dothidea
Lineage: Eukaryota; Fungi; Ascomycota; Dothideomycetes; Botryosphaeriales; Botryosphaeriaceae
Description: eukaryotic LSU rRNA
Rfam family: 5.8S ribosomal RNA (bases 210-363)
Source: RNAcentral